This 468-nucleotide ribosomal RNA is filed under the name uncultured bacterium. RNAcentral's name for it is "partial 16S ribosomal RNA". It matches the Rfam family "Bacterial small subunit ribosomal RNA", at positions 28 to 507 of the family's 1533-position model. The record is from RNAcentral.
GACGAACGCUGGCGGCGUGCUUAACACAUGCAAGUCGAACGGAAAGGCCCUGCUUUUUUGGGGUGCUCGAGGGGCGAACGGGUAAGUAACCCGUGAGUAACCUGCCCUUGACUGUGGGGUAACUUCAGGAAACUUGGGCUAAUACCGGAUAGGAGCUCCUGCUGCAGGGUGGGGGUGGGUAAGUUUCGGCUGUUGGGGAGGGACUCGCCGCUUAUUAGGUUGUUGGUUGGGUAGUGGCUUACCAAGGCUUUGACGGGUAGCCGGGCUGGGCGGGGGACCGGACCAACUAGGCCUGGGAUACGACCCAGACUCCUACGGGAGGCAGGAGUGGGGAAUAGUGCAUAGUGGGAGGAGGCAUGAUGUAGCAACGCAGCGUGGGGGAUGAGAGGAUGGGGGUUGUGUUCUAAUUCCGCCUGUGCCGAGGCGAGAGUGACGGUACCGGGUGAAGAAGCACCGGCUAACUCCGUG